CUAAUAUCUACUGAUGCCACUGAGUUGCCACAUAGGGGGAGGCAGCGGGAACCUUCAGUAGUUAGGAGCCACCACCUGAGAGUUCAGGAAGCCUCCUCACGGCUGGCGUAGGCUCUCCAACGCCUGGUCUUCCUGCCCUGACUUCCUACCUGUUAGCAGCCCCAGGCAGCCAGGGGGUGCUCCUGACUUGGCACUGCUCUCCCCUUUGCUCCUUGCUGGGCACCAACUCUCACUUGGAGGGGUCUCUAGCAUGCUCUGUCUCAGCCAACAAGGCCCGUGGAAGACAGGCUCCCUGAGGGCGCCCAUAGGCCCACCCAUGCUGUUUGGCCCCUCCCUUUCCAAGGGAAGUCCUGCCAGCCCUCCCCUCUUGCCAGCCUCUGUUUCCAGCAAAGCACGGCCUCUGCCUCUCCAAGGCCAUGUCCAGACCACAGUUUGCACUUGGUUCCAGCAUCACCUGGGCCCCUACGUCUCCUGACCCUCAAACUGUCCCCUCUCUCCUGCUUGGUCUCUGUGUGAUGCUGGCACUCUCCUAGACAAUCUCAUUAACCUGGAGGGAGAAGCCCAGCCGCACAGACCCCUCUGUGGACUGCCAGCCUGCCGUGGUCACUCCUAGGCAGACCUCACCUCACUGUGGCCAUGAACACAGACCAUGGCACCUGCUCCCACUUCCCUACCCCAUGGUCCCCCAGCUCUAGGUGCUGUGCUCCCCCUCCCCAGGAUGGCCACCCCAUUCUGGCCUCAGGAACUCCCCUUCUUGGCCAGAGCUCCCACGACAUUCUCAUCACUGCCCUUGGCCCUGCCUGUUGGUGUGCCGUGCCUAUCUAACCUGGCUCCAGCCUGGCUCCUGAACCCGACACCCCCACCUGGCUGAGCCCCCUCCCACAGACGCGAUGAGCACCCUCUGGGCUUGCCCUGGGACAGGGCAGUUCUCCCCUGUUAUUUUUGUCUUCAAUGCACACUGCUGUUGGCAAAAGUACCCAAAUCAGAAAUAAGGCAAACAGAGGGUAGAGUAUCCUUUCGACAUCAUAUCCUAUGUGCUAUUCACGGCCCACCAAGAUUACUUGCUGGUCUAGGAUAAUGUGCCUUGAUUUGACUGUUCACUGAGGAUUAACACCUGGGACGUAGGGAGGACACACGUAACUCCAUGGGCAUUUUGUCUGGUUGUGAAUGAUUCCUGUAGAGAAGAUAACUCCACCAGCUGUGGUUUCCCAGCCCUGCAGGACACCACCCAGGUUUUGCCUGUGCUGUGGAAGCCUCGCUGGGCCACCCUUUCCCAGAAGCCUGGAUGCUCUGCACCAGCCCUGCUGUCCUGCUGGCCCUCCCUGGUGGGCUGUGCUCAAGCUCCUUCCCAUGGUGUGGGGCCCCCUCCCUGUGGGUCUGUGGGCCACACUGUUUCCUCUGACUUGCCACCAACACUCCGACGGUGGGGGUCAGCCCGUGGUCAGGUUCCAGCCUCCGACGCUGGUUUAGGGAACACCCUGCCCUUCCCGGGCCCUUACCCGCCACUGGAUCAGGACAGAGGAGGUGGUGUGCGGCGUCACAGAGAUGAAGCUUGGAGGCUCUCCCGGAACUGGAACCCGAAAAAGAAGAAAGCGAGGAUUAGCUGGGUCUGCUUGUACUUGCCCGCUGUUCUGGAGCCAGCUCUCUUUCUGUUCUGGCAAGGAGGCAGGGCCCAGGCCUGGCAGGGGAGGGGGACUCGGGAGGCCAGCACCAACAUCCCCGCCUCCCUCCCUCCUUCUCCCUUCCAUGAAUGCCCUUGUCCACCUGCAGAGCCUAUGCCCACCUGGGUGGAAGGGACCUGAUCCUGGGGAAGGUGACAACAUAAUGCCCUGCCUUCACCCCCUUCAAACCCGACUGCACCCCCUGGCAGACCCACACAGAGACACACAAAGGUGCUUGGCUCUCCUCCCUGGGGACCCUGCCUAGGGAGCCCCCUGCUGUCGCAUAGCUUCUCAGCGGCCCACAUCCCUCUCUCCAGGAGAGGCAUCAUGUUUUUGAGGAACGUAGUUCAGAGAGGCUCUGAGCAGGACAAAGGAUCAAGCCAGGCCAGAGUGCUCUGGCUUCAUACUCUGGACGUGACUGCCAUGGAGGGAAGCUGACUGCUGGGGGUUGGGGGACGCUUGCUGAGCUUGGGCAUCGGUGGAGGCUCUACUCUGCUCUCUGGAGGGAUAAGGUCAGUUUGGCUCUGCCCGUGGAUAUACCCUGCAGGCUGGAAACUGCAAUCCUGCAGCCAUCCGUGCAUCUCGUCCAGUGGACCUCUCUGACACCCCCUCCCUACCACUGCUCCCACUGAACCUGUGUGGUCCUGGCUCAGCAUACUGGCUUGGCCUUUCUGUGGCUGCCUGCUGUAAGGUCCUGAGACUCCAAUAGUCAGUGGGUGCCGAGACCAAAGCUGCUCUUCCCACGCCCUCCGCACUCGACUACCUGAAACUUGGUCUCUCAGGCACCCGCACUGUGAGUCUCUUCUGCACCUGCCAGGGCACCUGGCCUCUGGGAGACACCUGCAUCAGCCGCACCUCCAGCCCUCCAUCCUGCCUUUUGGGGAGCCUCUACCUAAUGCACCCUGGCCUCCCACUCGUCUGUCUGAAGUCCACAGAGUAUCACGCAGGAUGACAAUUAUGGGGAGGGGUCUCAAUAUUCCAACCACCAUGAUAGGAAAAUGUUUAUCAGCAGACCAUCCAUCCAUUGAAAGCCCUCCAUCCUGUCCCCCCAGCCCAGAGCUCCCGGAGCCCUGCAGUCUGCCAGUCUCAUUGAAUCUGUGAUUCUGGAGACAAUACAGUGCAGACACAAUGCAGUCAACUGCAAAGAGAAAUUGCAAAUCUCAGAAGAGGGAGAUAACAGCAUAGGUUCAUCAAAAGAAAUGAUUUAAAUAUCAAAGGAUUAAGACAGGGCUUUGGGAGCCUGGAGUGGUCCUUGGAUGUUUUUUUCAAAACAGGCCAGUUCUGAGGGGGCUCUGUAAGGGCAAAGGGAGUCUGUGGUGUCCUGCUCACUGGCUUGCCAUUUCCUCAGUGACUCGCCAACAAAAUUAGCUUGUUGUGUUUGCUUCUUUCUUCUAAGAAUUAGUGCUUACUUCCAAAUAGAACCUCAGCUGUGUUAAAUGUAAGAUUAAAAUAUGAGCCACAAAGACAACCAUGGUUUCUCGAGGGGCCUGUCCAAGCGGCAGGUGCCCUGGCUGUGCAGCAGAGGAAUCUCUGCUCGAGGCCAAGAAGCUGCUGGAAGGGCUUCCGCAUCCUCAUCGGCUGGUUCCUCGCUCACCUGAGGCCUCAUGUUGUUGAGGCCAUGCUCCCAGGCUAUAAAAGAGGAAGAUGGAAACUUGGGGAAUUGGUACUCAGUGCUGUCGGGUGGUGAGGGCUGAGGCUCACAGCCUGGAAUCCAAGCCCCGGCAUCUGUUAAGCAAGAGCAAUCCUCCUGCCCUAAAAGUUGGGCCUACCACUGGGCGUGUUGGAUGCCGCUGGCUCCUGGUGCUAGGGCCUGGCAGGAUCAGCACCCAAAUUCACCAGGGAUCUUCAGGCCUGCUCCUCUGAGGUGGGAGACAGUGGGUAAAAACCACCUGGAGCUUUCAGGGGACCUCACCUCCAUCACUUACCUGUGCUUCUGUCAAAUGGGAUGAGAAAACAGAGGCUUGGUCGCAUGAAGUCCCUUGCCCUCUGCCAGAGGACCAGCCAUGGCUUGGCCAGGAUGGGAAGAGGAUCUUGCCCUGAGGCCGUCCCUCCACUGUACCCAAGACCGAGGUACUGAAAAGAUCUAUUAAGAACUCAAGAUUUGCAUCACAAAGAGCAAUGAAUAUAGAACCAUGCAUAAUAUCCUUGGCCAAAUUUACCUGCUUUUCACAUGACUUCAUUUUUAAAGAUGACACAGAAGAAGAAAAGAAAGAACUGGCCGUCUCCCAAUGGAGACGGGGCCAGCAUCCUGGCUUGAAUGGAAUCCCUCUUGUUCCACAUGUAAUCCCCUUCUGCCCCCGUGGUUGCGUUCAUAGUGUCCCCCGGGGAUGCUCAGAGGAACAGCAGGACCUGCUAUCAGUGGGUACAGGACCAUCGCCUGAGCUCACACUGCCGUUGUUGCCAUCCUAGUGACACCCAGAAUGUCCAUGUGGCUCUGGGCUCACGGGCCACCUCCUUCUCAACUGUACUGCAUUCCCACUAGGAACGGAUGCUGCCCUGCUGUCCCUCAACCCGGCGCCUCCCCUCCUGUCCCCACACCCACUAGAUGUGGGGACAGCCGCUCGAUGCAGAUUGUUAAACUUUUUGCUUUGAACUUUUGUUUAAACUUUCAUGCUUUCUGGUCAUUAGCAGACUUCAUGAAACUGGCAAAAGUAAAUCGUGAAAAAAAAAAACACAUAGAGAAAAAGAAGGAGAGAGCAGCUCUGCGGCUAUGGGAAUGGGAAGGAGGUCAUGUCGUGGCAAUGUGCAAAGCUCUGCUUUCCUGGAACGUGAUGUGUUCCUGCUGGCGGCCAGAGGGGGCCCUGGAGGGGCCCCACCACAGCUUCUCCCACACCAAAUCAAACGUCUGCCGGGAGCAUGGGCCCCUCCUUUCCAAUGUGAAGUCCCCUGCACUCCAUUGGUCUGUUUGCUUUUAGGAGGCCCCAGGAUAGAAAAGGCCACUGGAUUUUGUUUUUCUCCUUUCUUUCAGAUGGUUACACAAAGGAGUGAUGCUAUUUUUUUUUAUCCCUAAGCACAUUCUGAUGAAGCUACGCACCCAGUGCAACGGAGUGUGGUUUAUGAAGCCAUCUGGUCACUCUUGGCCAUGCCACCCGACCCUCAGGGCCUCCUGGGGGAACUCAGGGCUCUGGAGGGGGUGGUGCAAGGGGCUGAGAGCUGGGUCUCCCAGGUUGUGUGGCUGUCAUUCAGAGGGGGAGUGGGAUGCUGGUAGGAUCUGAGCGGGCAGAGUGGGACUACUUGGGAUUGCCUUCUGAGAUGGCAGCUGGGUCACUGCCAUCAGUAAUGGAGGCAAACCUUGGGCUCACAGAGCUGAGAGGACCAACAGGGUCACCCCUCCAUCUCUGUCUUCCACAGAAGAGGGAAUGAGGCUUCACAAGCUAACAUGGACUUUCCGCGGCCCCACGGCCACUGAUGGGCAGACAGGUGGUGAGGGCUUGCUGCCUAGGUGACAGCAACCGAUUCUUCACCAGCCACAGUGUGUAAGUUAGCUGGGUGGUCUGUGGCUGUGAGGCUUUGGGCUAUGGGCCAAGCAAAUGUCCCCAGAGCUGGGGACCCUGAGGGCCUCUGGCUGCCACCUGGGGGAGCACGCUCAGGACUACACCUCUACCUCCUCGUGUGCAAGGUCUGUGUGUCUGCAGGCCUGCUGCCGACAACGUAUAGGGCAGCACGCAGAAACUGCUUAAGAGGAGAGGCUGUCUAGCAUUGGGGUGGCAGCGGUAAUGAUAGUGACAAUCACAGUAACCACGGUGGGAAGAGCCCGUGGGAGCUUUAAUGCCCUGAGUUCCCAGACCAGGUCACAGAGGUGAGCAUCCAGUCCUCUUCUCCUCCGGUGAAGAGUGAAAUAAAAGAUGUAACUGUAACCAGUUUUCUAAAGGUCAACUCCCUCACCACCACACACAUCUGAGCUACUGUGGCCCCUUCUAGUGGGGAGCCAGACGGUGCCUCCAGCCCUGCUGGAAAGAGUACCUGUGCUUGGGACCUUUCGCCCUCCACUCAGAGGAGCCGUGAUGGAGGGGGUCACUGUGCACCGAGCAGAUUUGGGCCCCGAGCAGCUGGAGCUGUAAGCUGAUGAGCUGCCUUCCUUCUUGGACUGUCACCCUCUCUGAAGGCACAACCUGGGCAUUAGGUCCGGGAGCCGCGAUGGAGAUGCUGGGAGAUCCAAGCGAUCUGCUUGGGGCUGCCCCACCCGUGGAUGUGCUAUGAAGGUGAACGCUGGACACGUAGCCGUGCCUCCCGGGUGGGCAGUGUAGGGGGGCCGCCACGUCCUGGGCCUGGUGCCACCAGGCACCACACGGCCUCCAAAUGGUGCCACAACCCCGAAGGUGAGUGCCAAGGAGCUGCCUAAGACCACCACAUGGCAGGUGGCUGGAAACCAACCUGAGCCUGGAUAGUCUCCCUUCCCAUGAUGCCCCAGUGUGACAACCCACCUGUGCAUCACGCGUCACCUCAGUCACAUGCUUACGCGGAGCUCCUUUUCUCUAUAAACCUUGCUGUUGCCGUGUGUCAGACGCAGUGACAGAGCCAUGCAUCAGCCAGCCCUCACCCCUCCCUCACAGCCUGAACUGUGCCCAGGGUGGGAGUGGGGAUGCCUGAGGAUGCAGGCUGCUGCAGGAGCCCCCUGACCCCCUGCCGCCCCAGCUGCUCCACAACCCCCCUUCUGCUCAGGUUCAGCAGAGUGCAGAAGCAGAGCCUUGCAAAGGAGGAGGGUCAGGAGAUGCUGGGGCUGCAGUGAGUGUGACCCUUCUGACCCUCAGCUCUCCUCUGCAGAAUGGGGAUGAUGAUGUCCCCCACUGGGCCAUCAUGCAGGGUCAAUGAGAAACGUGUGUGAGAUUUCCCAGCACGGUGCCCAGGUUGGGGGGCAAUGAGUAUGUGUUCUGUCUGAAAGGUGAGAGGAACGCUGGCAGCCUGAGAAAUGGGGUCUUGGCCUCCUCCACCCUCCCCAUGGGAGCUACUGGCCAGGGUCCUGGAACCCUCGGAGCCAGUGGGACUCACUCCUCAGUGGCCCCCUCACAGCCUGAUGUGAGCUUCAUGGAAAGUGACCCAUGUCAGGGCCAGAGAAGGAGGACAGGGAAGACGCCCUGCCAGCUUCAUGGACAGGCCUGCCCACCGUUCAGACCCAGGGGGCUUCUGCAGGUGCUGUGAACCUGCACAGCCCGGGCCCCCCAGGGAGGGAUGCAGGGCCUGAGGUCACUUCUGAGAACUCUCACCUAGAUGGUUAUUUAGCCCUUGUCCCCCAGCAUAGAGGAGGUGCCUGGUCUCCCAUUGUAGAGGGGGGUACCCUCAUCCCCCAGCAUUGAGGGUGGUGUCCUAGUCUCUAACUAUAGUGGAGGUUGCUAUAGACUCCCACCAUAGAGGGGGUGCCCUGGUCCCUCACUGUAGAGGGGGUGCCCUUGUCCCCCAGCAUAGAGGGGUUGCCCUGGUCUCCCACUGUAGAGGGGGUGCCCUCGUCCCCCAGCAUAAACGGCAGUGCCCUGAUCUCUAACUAUAGAGGGGGUGCUCUGGUGUCCCACUGUAGAUGUGGUGUCCUCAUCCCUCACUGUAAAGGAGGUUGUCUUCUUCCCUCACCGUAGAGGGGGUGCCCUCAUCCCUCACUGCAGAGGGGGGUGCCCUAGUCUCCUACCAUACAAGGGGGUGCCCUUGUCCUUCACUGUAGAGCGGGGUGGGGAAUGAGAAGGGGCCUAAAUAAGACCGUGGGUGCCAAGAGCUCAGCUGUGGUGGUCAGCAUCACUCCCCUCUGCCUUUGCCUGGUGGCUCACUCAGUAACUGGAUAAAUGCUGGGUUCUCAUGGUGCAGUGGGGAUGCCCCUCCCAUGUCCCUGAUCGGCCAUCAUAGUGGAUGACAGCAGGAGGGGGAAUUAUCUGCCUUGUUGACUAAAAGAGAGAGCACAAGAGAAGGUGCAACCCUCUCAGCCCGUGACACCCCUUCCCCACACCUCCCCUCCUCCACAUCCGCCUCUUAGGGGAUAGGGUGAUGGAGCCUACAUGUCCAGGCUCACUGUCCCUGUCAUCUGUGCCUCAUCCAUCCCUGGGACCCGGAGUGUGCAAGCCGCCUGUCCAGGGCAUGCCUGGAAGGACAGACCCGGGGGAGGGGCCUGAGCAGGCUCCAGGAUGUGGCAAUCCUGGUCCCUGGCACUAGAGAGACGUGAGCGGUCAGCCUUCCCAGUCCUGGGCAGGAGCGGCAGGGCCCAUUCCCCGGGGCACGUCCGCCUGGCUCUGGGUACCUUUCGACAGCGCAGGCUGUGGCCUCGUGGCUGAUGGACGAGGAGUAGGUCUGCCACUCUCCGCGGGGCAGCUCUCGCACCUGCACCGUGAAGUAGCGAAUGGGGGAGGCCCCGUCGCUGCCCGGGACCCACUGGAGCCGGAGGCUGCGCGCAGUCACUUCUGCCUGGGGCACCAGGAGCUCCCGGGGGGGUGCCGGUCGCUCUGCAACCAGAAGAGAACAGACCAGGGACAGGUGAGGGGCUGCUGCUCCACAUGAGAUCCAGCAUGGGGACUGCCAGCUGCGCACGAGCUCAGACCAUACGGAGACGAUGCCCGGGCACCUGCAGCUCUCUCACUGCUCACCCUGGACCCACCCAGCUUGGAUUGGACUGGACGCUCUGGCUUGCUCCCCGAGUGCUGCUCUUGCAGAGACAGACAGACAGACAAGAGGGUGAGCCCACACAUGCUCCUGGACGGCCACACGUCCCUGCGGGCGUCACUGAGGACACCUGGGCUCUCCUGCGGACUUUCCCUCUGAUCACAGGCUCAGCGCAUCUGUCAGACUGACUUCCUCUCCCCAGAAGCCAACUGGAGCCUGAACAACCACAGUGUCCUGCUCAGCUCCUCCAGGGGCUGUCGCCACUGCUCUGUGCCUACAGCGCUGGUGACUGGGAGCGCAGGAGUCUGGGACCAGGCCCCUGAGCAUGGAUCGUUACUGUGGUGCGUCUCCUCACCCCAUCGAUUUCAAGAGGGAAACUCCACAGAGGGAGGAAUAAUUGUUUAAUUGUUUAUCAUGAAGAUUAUCGAUCCUGUUGAAAAUGUGU
Molecule: long non-coding RNA, 8682 nt
Organism: Canis lupus familiaris (dog)
Lineage: Eukaryota; Metazoa; Chordata; Mammalia; Carnivora; Canidae
Exons: 3
Source: RefSeq, a predicted model, not a curated record